Molecule: long non-coding RNA, 2337 nt
Organism: Sesamum indicum (sesame)
Lineage: Eukaryota; Viridiplantae; Streptophyta; Magnoliopsida; Lamiales; Pedaliaceae
Source: RefSeq, a predicted model, not a curated record
AAUAUCCACCCGAAAAACCCGAUUGGGAGAAGGGGAAAAAAGGGGGUACGGGUAUUAUCCAAGCCAGAAAAGAAAACCCUUGCUGCUGCUCCUGCACCUGCAGUCCUGCUCCCGUUUCUUUCCUUACUACUGUCUACUGCCAUUGUUGAUUUGUUGCUGUCGUUGCUGCUGCUGUCGCCGGCAACCAGUCGCUGCGGCCGCGCCACCCACCGGACUCCAAUGACGACGAGCUCUCCCUCAUCGCCGACAACAAUCGCUAUUUUUGUCAAUUUUCAGAAUUGUGCCUGAUUGGAAACAUUGGCUUCUCAAUAUAUCUUUCAUAAAUAUAGAUGGAAUUGGAAGUCACUCUCAGUUUCAGUCUAACUCGUCACUGAAUGCUCAAACCAUAAAUAUGGAUGGAUUGAAAAAUCAGGUUAGUGGUGAUCAUCUUGAAAAUGUUGAGCAUUAUUUUGAUGAUAAUAUUGAUAAGGAGUUGGAGGGAGAGGAUGAGGAGGAAGAUGUUUUAGGUGAUUCUAAAAAAAGGAAAAAGAGGGUAGUGGCUUCUAGAUCACCGUAUUGGGAUCAUUUCGUUAAAUUUCAUUGUGAAAAGGAUAAUGUCCAAAAGGCUAGGUGCAAAUAUUAUAGUAGACUGGAUACGAAAUAGUGCAAGCGCUUAUUUGUACUCAAGAUUGGAUACGAAAAGACUACAAACCAAUUAGCAUUGAGGAGGAUUUGAGUGAACUUGAAGUGGUUGAGAAAGAGUUAACUAAGUUGGGGGUUGAUUCAACAAUUAUUGACAUGUAAUGGUGCUAACUGGUACUUGUAAAUUUUUGACAAGGUCGAGGCUCGAGGAUGAAAAUGUGAUAUGAGCUAGUUGCUUUUUCAGUCUAUAGGCAUUAGGAUUUAGGAGCCCUUGGCUUUAUUGUUGUUACUAAAAUAAUUUACAAAAACCUAUGAUAAUUUAUGGAUGUGAUUGAACUCUUUUUUUUUUUGGUAUUUAUGUAAAGCUUUAAGUAUUUGUGUCCAUAACUUAUAUUUUAGAUUUACAUGGAGUGAAUUACUUUCAUUUUGAAAAAUUGACCUUGUACAUUUUUUGAAGCUAAAAAACCCGAACCCGACUGUCGGGUACCCGAACCCGACGGGUAUCUGAUUGGUCGGGUAUCCGACUUAGUCGGGUUCGGGUUCGGGUUCAUUUUUUCUAAACCCGACGUGUCGGGUACCCGACCCGAUGCCCACCCCUACUCAUACACACUUGGUGUGUUUUCUCCCUAAUUUUCUUCUAGCAAAUAAAAUUGAGGGAUUUCAUUUUCAAUGAGGUGUGGACGCAACUUUAGAAGGUUUUUACGUUGAAGUCUUGGGUGAAGGAAUCAAACGAAGGAGGUGCGAAAUAAAUCAAAGAGGAACUUCAAGGCUACAGCCUUUGGAACUAUUGUUUUAUUGCGUUUCCGUUUUAAUUUACUCAUUUUGUUAUCACCGCUUCCGCUUGCGUGUUCCCAAAGGGAAACCAUUGAAUCUCUCUCAUGGAGGGAGGCUGGCCUUGAUUAGAAGUGUGUUGCAGGCCACGCCCUUACAUUCGCUUCAGGUGAUUCAUCCGCCUAAGUCUAUCUUGAUAACUAUUGAACGCAUAUUCAAUGCUUUCUUUUGGGGCUUGUAUAAUGGCCACAUGAACAUCCACUGGACUUCAUGGGACAAGGUGUGUCUUCUAGUGACAGAAGGUGGUUUGGGUAUUCAGAGUUCGGCGGAUUAUGUCGGAGCUUUCUCCAUGAAGCUUUGGUGGUGGUUUAGGCUCAAAUUAUCCUUAUGGUUGGAAAUCUUGCAUGACCACUACUGUAAGAGACUACAUCCUACUCAUGUGCCGUAUAAUCGAAAUCAUUCAUGUGUUUGGCAUCAUCUAUAUCGCAUUAGAGAUGUGGCAGAGCCUCUCAUCUAGCGAGCUCGUGCAUGGGGCCCUCGACACUAUUGAGCCAGUACGUUAUUAUUGACAUGAGGGCGAAUGGAAUGUGCCCAGAAUCUUUAGACCAGUCCCGCCAAAGAUUGCACAUGUUCUUUGCCAAAUUUUGGUUGCAGCGAGUCAGAGGGACAAGAUUGUGUGGACUAGAGCCAGUGGCGAGACGUUUUCGACAACAUCGGCCUGGGAGGCUAUCUGAGUGGCUUCUCCUCGGCAGCAGCUUUUCGCAGAAAUAUAGCAUAGCUACUUGCGGCCAACAAUGUCAAUUUUCUUAUGGCGGCUAUUCCAGGACCGAAUUCUAGUAGAUGCACGUAUGAAGCAUAAGGCCUUUAGCUUCUUAUCUAAAUAUCAAUAUUGCGAGGCAGAGGAGACCAUUCCGCAUCUCUUUGUUGAGGGAUCAGCAGUGCGGG